This 443-nucleotide ribosomal RNA is filed under the name uncultured bacterium. RNAcentral's name for it is "partial 16S ribosomal RNA". It matches the Rfam family "Bacterial small subunit ribosomal RNA", at positions 339 to 795 of the family's 1533-position model. The record is from RNAcentral.
CUACGGGAGGCUCCAGUCGAGAAUCUUCCGCAAUGGACGAAAGUCUGACGGAGCGACGCCGCGUGGUGGAUGAAGUCCUUCGGGACGUAAACACCUUUUAUGAGGGAGGAAGUCUAUUGACGUUACCUCAUGAAUAAGGGGCUCCCAAUUCUGUGCCAGCAGGAGCGGUAAUACAGAAGCCUCAAGCGUUACCCGGAUUUACUGGGCGUAAAGGGUGUGUAGGUGGUGUGAUUAGUCGUGCGUCAAAUCUUCGGGCUUAACCCGGAGCUCGCGCAGGAAACGGUCACACUCGAGGAAGUGAGAGGUGUGUGGAACUCAAGGUGUAGGGGUGAAAUCCGUUGAUAUCUUGGGGAACACCAAAAGCGAAGGCAACACACUGGCACUUUCCUGACACUGAAACACGAAAGCGUGGGUAGCGAAUCGGAUUAGAUACCCCGGUAGUC